RNAcentral lists this ribosomal RNA (484 nucleotides) under uncultured bacterium. RNAcentral's name for it is "partial 16S ribosomal RNA". It matches the Rfam family "Bacterial small subunit ribosomal RNA", at positions 30 to 507 of the family's 1533-position model. The record is from RNAcentral.
AUUGAACGCUGGCGGCAGGCCUAACACAUGCAAGUCGAGCGGAUGAAGGGAGCUUGCUCCUGGAUUCAGCGGCGGACGGGUGAGUAAUGCCUAGGAAUCUGCCUGGUAGUGGGGGAUAACGUCCGGAAACGGGCGCUAAUACCGCAUACGUCCUGAGGGAGAAAGUGGGGGAUCUUCGGACCUCACGCUAUCAGAUGAGCCUAGGUCGGAUUAGCUAGUUGGUGGGGUAAAGGCCUACCAAGGCGACGAUCCGUAACUGGUCUGAGAGGAUGAUCAGUCACACUGGAACUGAGACACGGUCCAGACUCCUACGGGAGGCAGAAGUGGGGAAUAUUGGAAAAUGGGCGAAAGCCUGAUCAAGCCAUGCCGCGUGUGUGAAGAAGGUCUUCGGAUUGUAAAGCACUUUAAGUUGGGAGGAAGGGCAGUAAGUUAAUACCUUGCUGGUUUGACGGUACCAACAGAAUAAGCACCGGCUAACUUCGUG